CCCUUAGAUGUUCUGGGCCGCACGCGCGCUACACUGACGAAUGCAACGAGCUUAUAACCUUGUCCGAAAGGUCUGGGUAAUCUCCAAAUUUCGUCGUGAUGGGGAUAGAUUAUUGCAAUUAUUAAUCUUCAACGAGGAAUGCCUAGUAAGCGCAAGUCAUCAGCUUGCGUUGAUUACGUCCCUGCCCUUUGUACACACCGCCCGUCGCUCCUACCGAUUGAAUGGUCCGGUGAAAUCUCGGGACGGCGGCUUGGUCGCUUGCGUCCGACUGCUGAAACUUGAUUAAACCAUAUCAUUUAGAGGAAGGUGAAGUCGUAACA
This 320-nucleotide ribosomal RNA is filed under the name uncultured eukaryote. RNAcentral describes it as "partial 18S ribosomal RNA". It matches the Rfam family "Eukaryotic small subunit ribosomal RNA", at positions 1470 to 1796 of the family's 1831-position model. The record is from RNAcentral.